RNAcentral lists this ribosomal RNA (918 nucleotides) under uncultured beta proteobacterium. RNAcentral's name for it is "bacterial SSU rRNA". It matches the Rfam family "Bacterial small subunit ribosomal RNA", at positions 8 to 916 of the family's 1533-position model. Lineage: Bacteria; Pseudomonadati; Pseudomonadota; Betaproteobacteria. The record is from RNAcentral.
AGAGUUUGAUCCUGGCUCAGAUUGAACGCUGGCGGAAUGCCUUACACAUGCAAGUCGAACGGCAGCACGGAGAGCUUGCUCUCUGGUGGCGAGUGGCGAACGGGUGAGUAAUAUAUCGGAACGUAUCCAAUAAUGGGGGAUAACGAGUCGAAAGAUUCGCUAAUACCGCAUACGCCCUACGGGGGAAAGCAGGGGAUCGUAAGACCUUGCGUUAAUGGAGCGGCCGAUAUCUGAUUAGCUUGUUGGUGAGGUAAAGGCUCACCAAGGCGACGAUCAGUAGCUGGUUUGAGAGAACGACCAGCCACACUGGAACUGAGACACGGUCCAGACUCCUACGGGAGGCAGCAGUGGGGAAUUUUGGACAAUGGGGGCAACCCUGAUCCAGCCAUUCCGCGUGAGUGAAGAAGGCCUUCGGGUUGUAAAGCUCUUUCGCAAGGGAAGAAAACUUAUGAUCGAAUAAAUCAUGAGGUUGACGGUACCUUGAUAAGAAGCACCGGCUAACUACGUGCCAGCAGCCGCGGUAAUACGUAGGGUGCGAGCGUUAAUCGGAAUUACUGGGCGUAAAGCGUGCGCAGGCGGUUUUGUAAGUCGGAUGUGAAAUCCCCGGGCUCAACCUGGGAACUGCGUUCGAAACUGCAAGGCUAGAGUGUGUCAGAGGGGGGUAGAAUUCCACGUGUAGCAGUGAAAUGCGUAGAGAUGUGGAGGAAUACCAAUGGCGAAGGCAGCCCCCUGGGAUAACACUGACGCUCAUGCACGAAAGCGUGGGGAGCAAACAGGAUUAGAUACCCUGGUAGUCCACGCCCUAAACGAUGUCAACUAGUUGUUGGUAGAGUAAAAUCUAUGAGUAACGUAGCUAACGCGUGAAGUUGACCGCCUGGGGAGUACGGUCGCAAGAUUAAAACUCAAAGGAAUUGACGG